CCCUCAGGUGGGGAAUAACGAGCCGAAAGGUUCGCUAAUACCGCAUAAGACCACGAUUUCUGCGGAAAUUGAGGUCAAAGGAGGCUGUCGCAGGGCAGCUUUCGCCAGAGGAUCGGCUCGCGGACCAUUAGCUAGAUGGCGGGGUAAUGGCCCACCAUGGCUACGAUGGUUAGCUGGUCUGAGAGGACGACCAGCCACACUGGAACUGACACACGGUCCAG
This 221-nucleotide ribosomal RNA is filed under the name uncultured bacterium. Its description in RNAcentral is "partial 16S ribosomal RNA". It matches the Rfam family "Bacterial small subunit ribosomal RNA", at positions 129 to 334 of the family's 1533-position model. The record is from RNAcentral.